Molecule: long non-coding RNA, 199 nt
Filed under: Panax ginseng (ginseng)
Lineage: Eukaryota; Viridiplantae; Streptophyta; Magnoliopsida; Apiales; Araliaceae
Description: long non-coding RNA (PGIN_LNC009754)
Source: RNAcentral
UCGAUCCCGAGGAAGGCCUCGAGACAUGUCUUUAAAGUGUAGACUUCUUUCUACCUUGAUCGGUCUAUCAAUCUGACCACUUCGGUAUAGGAUUCUAAGCAGUAUGCCUUCUACCCUUUUCCGACCAUGGUCAGGUCUUCUCUUGGCAGCAAAAAUCAAUCUUCUUCCAACAUCAUCCUGGGCUCUCGAACGAGAACCC